RNAcentral lists this ribosomal RNA (473 nucleotides) under Selenomonas sp. oral taxon 149. RNAcentral describes it as "bacterial SSU rRNA". It matches the Rfam family "Bacterial small subunit ribosomal RNA", at positions 28 to 475 of the family's 1533-position model. The record is from RNAcentral. Lineage: Bacteria; Bacillati; Bacillota; Negativicutes; Selenomonadales; Selenomonadaceae.
GACGAACGCUGGCGGCGUGCUUAACACAUGCAAGUCGAACGGAGCGAAUGAAAGCUUGCUUUUAUGAGCUUAGUGGCAAACGGGUGAGUAACACGUAGACAACCUGCCGACAGGAUGGGGACAACAUUCCGAAAGGAAUGCUAAUACCGAAUGAAGUCGAGGGAAGGCAUCUUCCUUCGAUGAAAGAUGGCCUCUGAAUAUGCUAUCACCUGUUGAUGGGUCUGCGUCUGAUUAGCUAGUUGGUGAGGUAACGGCUCACCAAGGCGACGAUCAGUAGCCGGUCUGAGAGGAUGAACGGCCACAUUGGGACUGAGACACGGCCCAGACUCCUACGGGAGGCAGCAGUGGGGAAUCUUCCGCAAUGGGCGCAAGCCUGACGGAGCAACGCCGCGUGAGUGAAGAAGGUCUUCGGAUCGUAAAGCUCUGUUGACGGGGACGAACGUGCGGAGUGCGAAUAGCGCUUUGUAAGACGG